CGAACGCUGGCGGCAGGCCUAAUACAUGCAAGUCGAACGGCUCUUCGGAGCAGUGGCGGACGGGUGAGUAACGCGUGGGAAUGUGCCCUUAGGUACGGAACAACACAGGGAAACUUGUGCUAAUACCGUAUGUGCCCUUCGGGGGAAAGAUUUAUCGCCUUUGGAGCAGCCCGCGUUGGAUUAGGUAGUUGGUGAGGUAAAGGCUCACCAAGCCGACGAUCCAUAGCUGGUCUGAGAGGAUGACCAGCCACACUGGGACUGAGACACGGCCCAGACUCCUACGGGAGGCAGCAGUAGGGAAUCUUGCGCAAUGGGCGAAAGCCUGACGCAGCCAUGCCGCGUGUAUGAUGAAGGUCUUAGGAUUGUAAAAUACUUUCACCGGGGAAGAUAAUGACGGUACCCGGAGAAGAAGCCCCGGCUAACUUCGUGCCAGCCGCCGCGGUAA
RNAcentral lists this ribosomal RNA (445 nucleotides) under uncultured bacterium. RNAcentral describes it as "partial 16S ribosomal RNA". It matches the Rfam family "Bacterial small subunit ribosomal RNA", at positions 30 to 523 of the family's 1533-position model. The record is from RNAcentral.